AACGCACCUUGCGCUCCUUGGUAUUCCGAGGAGCAUGCCCUGUUUGAGUGUCAUUAAAUUCUCAACUCUUAACCCUUUAUUGGGUUCGGAGCUUGGACUUGGAGUGUGCUGGCUUCUGUCGGCUCCUCUUCAAAUAUAUUAGCGGAUUUUACUUCUCGCAAAACUCAGCGUGAUAAUUGUUAUGCUGUGUGAACUUGAAGAGUCGCUUUUAACCGUCCUUCGGGACAAUAUAUGACCAAUUUGACCUCAAAUCAGGUAGGACUACCCGCUGAACUUAA
This 278-nucleotide unclassified non-coding RNA is filed under the name Mycosphaerella sp. Its description in RNAcentral is "partial contains 5.8S ribosomal RNA, internal transcribed spacer 2, and large subunit ribosomal RNA". The record is from RNAcentral. Lineage: Eukaryota; Fungi; Ascomycota; Dothideomycetes; Mycosphaerellales; Mycosphaerellaceae.